GGUCAAGCUACAAAGGGCGAAGGGUGGAUACCUAGGCACAC
RNAcentral lists this ribosomal RNA (41 nucleotides) under Phormidium uncinatum SAG 81.79. RNAcentral describes it as "partial 23S ribosomal RNA". Lineage: Bacteria; Bacillati; Cyanobacteriota; Cyanophyceae; Oscillatoriales; Oscillatoriaceae. The record is from RNAcentral.